RNAcentral lists this long non-coding RNA (2134 nucleotides) under Nicotiana tabacum (common tobacco). RNAcentral describes it as "long non-coding RNA (NTAB_LNC000870)". The record is from RNAcentral. Lineage: Eukaryota; Viridiplantae; Streptophyta; Magnoliopsida; Solanales; Solanaceae.
UUCAAUGAUUAGUAAAAAUAGAAACAAACCACGAUAGCAAAAGUGACAAAGAAGUUCCAGCCCCCAUUAUCCCAUUUACACAAUUCCAGAUUAUUUGUAGCAUUAUAAGGCCAACAUUACAACACAGGCUAAACUAAUGAGCUUCAGGUGCAAAGUAAAUUCCAGCACAAUAAUGUGACUCCAAAUUCUCUCCCAAUGCUCGAAUUAGGCCAUCCUGUAACAUCAUAGCCAAACCAGAACACAUAUGCAGCACACAUGAAGAUCAAAUUAUCGCGAAAAUAGAUUUAACUCGUUACUUGCAAAUAAUAUACCUUCAAGUAAUUGGUUCAAACUAUUUGCAGUUUAGUCAUGUAAAUAACCUGUUGAGAAAUACAACUCGAUAGUCUAUAACACAAACAAAGUUGUUGACUUCUCUUACUAUUAGUUCCUAAAUAGAGUAUCUCUAGUGUUCAAAUCAAAUAAACAAUUGUUCAAACUAAAUAAAGGGCAAGCAUUAUGGGAUAGCAAGUUUUCUGGAGGUUUUAUCCAUAGACUGAAUAUUUAGAUAAAUUAAAAUCCUAAGGACAUGGUAUCUAUAUGUUUGCGAACAUCCUGGCAGUAAUGUUAUAGCCAACAAAGCAAACAAAUAUAACUCUUAGCUUUCCGACAUACUAUCCACAACUGGACAUGUAGUAUAUUAGGCCAUUUAAUCCUAAACAUGGUGUCUAAGUGACAACAAGUGCAUUGAUUUAGGUAAGGUAGUUUUAAACACAUAAGACCGGAAAACAACCUUAAGGUUUAACGGAUGAAGUUUUAACAAUCCAAUGUCACCUUUUAUUAACUAAGAAAUACUUACUGAAAUGAUAUCUAUGCAACAUGAAUUCAGCUAUAUUCAAAGAGUGAAGAUCAUGGAACUUACGAAUAUCAUUCGAAGUCUUUUAGGCAGAAUUCCUAAACUAAAUCGAAGAUAAGUUGAUGCUACUCUUAUUUAUGCAAUCUUUAGUCCUAAUUAAAACAAAUGAUUUCCUAGUUACCAGAAUGCCAGAACAAAUCCUAAAAACCUUUAUAGUCAGGCUGUCUCAUAUUCAAAACAUCACAAGUAAAGUCAAAAGAUCAAAAACACACCUGGAUUUAAGAGACGUACCUGGUUAUUAUAUGGGCAUAAUUUCAAUAGAGUGCCGCAAGGCACUCGACAUGGCCAAGAGUAUACAGAACACACAAAUAGAGUAAAAGAAAACAAAAACUGAAGAGGAGGACUAGUCUAUUCUAAUAUAAUUACUAACACGUAAAGGAAUCGUAAUGUAUCGUUCAGGAAACUAAGCUGUUCGAAAGCGGAACAACAAUAUAAUAAGAAGAUUAGAAAUCCAGUAACUUCAAUAAUAACAAUUAAGCCCAAAUACUCUCCGAAGUGUGCAUAAUGAAGAACCAAUACUCAAACUUGAUACGUCCAGGUUGUAUCCAACGAAUAUCACGACUAGAACACUUUGUAUUGGACGAACAUAAAGAUUAAAGCUCUGCCUCGAUUUGUACCCGGAGGAACAGAGGAGCAGUAAAAGUAAAAGAAUAGCUAUAGUAGUAGUGAAAACCGUGAUCCUCCUUAGUGCAUAGAACUAGUCAGUAUUUAUAGUAGCGAAUUAGCCUUAGGGCGUGUCACUAUAAUGGAAAAGAAUCAUAAAACUACAUAUCAAAUAAAGAAAGAUUCAGAUUUUUUUAAAAGAUCAAAAUUCCCGUUAAGCAAGGAUUCAGGGACUGAAGCGAAAUUGGAGUAUUCGAACUAAAAAAUGAACCGUUGGUGAUUAAUUUUGGCAGAAAGAGAUUAUGAUUAUGGGAAAACUUCGCUUUACAUAAUCGAAAAAAUUCAGAAGAGAAUAUUGAUAAUUCAAUUUUCAAAACUCAAUCCAAUCGAUAAGAGAAAAUGAAGAAUAGGUGAAGUGCUUACCUCAAAACCUGUCCAUAUUCAUCUAACUAAUUUGAACCUACGGAUGCCGAGAUGGAAAGAAAAGUAUGCAAACCUUCAAUCACAACAGGGAUUUAGACCAAAAUUGAAGCUAAAAUCUCGGCUCUCAAUAGCAAUUUCGUUACAGAUUUGAAGAGGAAAAAACAAUUAAGGAAAGAAAAGAGAAAAAUAGAUAAAUAAGACAAAUCAAAGAAUUGG